AAAGUUAAUAAAAAAAAGAAAAAAGAAAAAGUGGCCUCACAAAAUGGCGAUUUUACCCAUCAGCCACCGAGGCGCUAGAGGCCACACGUGAAGCUCUAUUAACCAAACACAGCAGUUUUAUUAUUAUUAAUAAUUGAAUGCCAGUAUGAUUUAAUGAGGUAUGCUUGGUGAUGUAUAAAUAUUAGAAUUUAGACUCACGUGCACGGAAACAAAGCCCGCGAAAAAGCGGAAGUCUGGCCAAUCAGAGGCAGCGCGUGCAAAGCCCGCGAAAAAGCGGAAGUCUGGCCAGUCAGAGCCAGCGCUUGCACACUACUGUCUACUCCCUGCUGGAAGGACUGAUAAUUACUUGAGCAGCUAAAUGACCCCCAAAAGCUCUUUUAAGAGCUCUUUCAACCAUUAAGCAUCUUUAUCCAUAUUUUGCAUCCUCUUUUCUUUUUUUUCUCUUCUAACCAUCCCUUAUUUCAACCAAGAGGCUAAAGACUACAGCCAAUAGCCCAUAGGAGGUGGGAUCUCACUCACAGCAUGUGCACAGUGUACUGUACACUGAUAGUGUCAGCUAUCUUUUAUUUGGAAGCUAAGCUAACAGGCUCUUGUGCUGUGGAGUAGUAGGAGGAAGUAUUAGGAGUUACCAUCCUAUUUUUCCCGGACCUGUCGGGUUGCCGAGAUAGUCCAAAAUGUCCGAUAUUCAGCUUUUUGCUUUCUGCAGUCGCCAUUCAUUGUUUACAUGCACACCUUUUGUUUCAAUCUAACUGAAUUCAUUCCGAUUGGUGAAUCCGAAGUGUAGUGUAGUAGUGUUUACAUUCAUGUUGAUGUGCAUUAAUAAGGAAAUUCCCGCUCCUCUGUGAGAGAUACGAGAGCGGUGCGUCUCACACGUGUUGCUCAUCAGUAAACAAUCCACCGGCCUUGCGUCACUCUCACUCGUCCUGAUCGCCACAGUAAACAUAAUCAAUGGUGACUGUAGAACGCAAAAGCCAAAUCCAGGAAAUUUUGGGCGAUCUCAAUCUCUGUCAGACUCGUCACGGAGACUCAUUAUUAGCUAGCCUUCUUGUGUUUAACUGCGCUCUCUCACUGGUAGGUGUGGCUUCCUAGGGCAGUGAAGCAAGUGCAUUCUGGGAGUUGUUGACUUUCAUCCGCAUGAGCCUAAAAUACAUUUUCUGGCUUUUCUCAGUCUAGAAGGCUCCAAAUAAAAAUAAAAAUAAAUCACAUUUCUACUACAUAAAUGACCCAUUUUAAAUACACAUUCAUCUUUCCAGAGCUGAAGUAUCCCUUCAAUGAAGCGAACUUUAAAUUUAAUAUUAGUCCUAGAGCAGAAAAAGUUUAAUACUUUUAAAAUACUAUAAUCACUUGACGCCAUUGAACGGCUACUAUCAUGCAAAAACUGCAACAAAUCCAUUAUUCAUGAUUAAAAAUCUAAACCAAAAGAUUACUUUUGUUUUAGUAUCAUAAUUGUUAAACCGUAAUGAAUUAAAUGAUCGCUACACUACACGGAAAGCCAGCUAAAAAUUAUUUGAUAGAUGUGUAAAGAAUCACUGCAGGAAAAAGGAGAAGAAAAAAAAAAAAACUAGAUUCAGUCCACUAUAGCACAUCCACUAUAGUCACUAUGACACAUGAUCAGACAUUGUUUUUGCUACUUUUAUUUUAAAUGUAUGGAUUUAUACUGUUCUACCAAACUCUUGUCUCUUUUGACCUGUCUGUAAAUACCUGUAAUACAGAAUAAUACUCUUGACUUGUGUAUUGUUUUAUCAUUGUCAUUUAAUGUUUAUUUGUUGAUUGUAAAGGGUGACAGAAUUUUACUGUGAACUAUCCCUUUAAUUUAUUAACUUGCUCUCCUAAUCUGCUGUUUCUCUCUCAUUAUAGGGUAGUGAACAUCCUGAGCUUGAACUCAUUAGGGAUAUUCCAUGCACAUUUUAUUUGUGACUCUGUAUUGUGUUCACUAGUGAUGAAUUACAAUGAACGCAGCAAUCUUAGGAAAAGGGCCCUCAAAAGAGUUGACACUUUUCUUAAAUCAGUGGCUCAUGAGGUGUAUGACCAUACUGAUAAUCUUAACAACUCUCCUGUUAGCAUUCUUCCUGGUGGCAUUCCCUCUGUCUGCAGACCUUCAGAUUUGAAUCCUACUUGCAUCUCUGUUAGUGAGAAUACAAACAGUAGCCAUGAUUGUAGCAGUACUGGUGAAACAAAUUAUGAAAGUGAUCUCAGAAGGAGCAUUACUGACUGGGCACUUCGUUUUGGUGUAUCUCUCAUUGCACUCUCUGCUUUAUUGGCAAUUCUUAGAGUGCAUUUACCAUUCCUGCCAAAAGAUGGAAGGUCACUGUUAAAAACGAAAAUGGAGUACAAUGUGGAGAUGAUUGCCGGUGGAUCUUUCCACUAUUUUGGUAUUGUCAAUGCUUUCAGAAACACUUUGAGAAGCGUAUGUUCUUGUUUUACAGACGGGCACACAUUUAACAUGCAACUAAAUUUUGACGGAAUCCCACUUUUCAAAAGUUCUUCAGUUCAACUUUGGCCUAUUCUUGGCAUGUUCAAAGGUCUAUCUAAGAAACCUGUUGUCGUAGGGUUGUUUUGUGGGACCACUAAGCCAAAAAAUCUUUCUGACUAUCUCAGUCACUUAGUUUGUGAGUUGCAAAAUUUAAGAAGAGGUUUUGUUUUUGGUGGCAAGACUUUCUUUGUCAAGGUAACGUCUAUCAUGUGUGAUGCUCCAGCACGAGCCUUUAUCAAAGGUAUAAAAUCUCAUACAGGAUACUAUGGCUGUGACAAAUGUCAGCAGAAAGGUUCCUAUGUGAAACACCGCAUGACAUUUCCUGAGAACGAUGCCUCCUGUAGAACAGAUGAAGCUUUUCGACUGGGAUUAGAUGAGGAACACCAUCUAACACCCUGUCCUCUUCUAGAAACUGACAUUGACAUGGUAACUGGUUUUCCUCAUGAUUACAUGCACCUUGUGUGUUUGGGUGUAGUGAGACGUCUAACGGAUAUGUGGUGUGGUUCAGUGGGCCCCCUGCGUACAAGGCUUUCGAGCAUUCAGGUCUUGGGUAUCUCUGAGAGACUGGUAGCAUUAAAGGAAUUCAUUCCAGCAGAGUUUGCCAGAAAGCCUAGGGCUCUCAGUGAGAGACUUCGUUGGAAGGCAACUGAAUUCCGUCAACUGUUGCUGUACACAGGCCCUGUUGUUUUAAAGAGUGUGUUGCCUCGCCAGGUUUAUGAUAACUUUAUGCUGUUGUCUGUUGCCAUCUACAUUUUGGCAAAUUCAAACUAUUGUAUCGAAAUGAAUGAUUUGGCUCACUCCUUUUUGGUAUCAUUUGUUGAGCAUUAUGGCUUGUUGUAUGGAAAAGAGAUGGUGGUAUACAACAUUCAUGGCUUGGUACAUCUUGCUAGUGAUGUUAAAGUGCAUGGUCCUUUAGAUGGCAUAUCUGGCUUCCCCUAUGAAAAUUAUCUUGGUGAGCUUAAGAGAUUGGUAAGGAAGCCUCACAAUCCACUUGCACAGAUUAUCCGCAGGUUGUCAGAGCAUGAGGAAAGGAACUAUUAUUCCACUGAUGAAAUUUCACUAAUGUGCCCCCAUAAAAAUGGACCCAUACCACAAACUCUGACAGAAGAAGUACAUCAGUUCAGACAGCUUACUGUUGAUGGUGUCAUGCUGCGAAUAUCGAGCAGAGAUGAUUGCAUUGCUAUUCAUGGCAAAGUGAUUUCAGUAAAAAACAUAAUUGCUUAUGGGGGUAAAGAGUAUGUUAUGUUUCAAGAGUAUAGAGAGAAAGAGGCCUUAUACACUUACCCUCUUGACUCCAGAAACAUGGGAGUAUUCAUCGUGUCCAAUUUGUCAACAGUGAUGCACUUUACUGAGCUCACAAAGCCCUGGCAGAAGUGUGUGAGGUUGCCUCUGGGAGACAAAUUUGCAGUCUUCCCUCUGACUCACACAUCUUAAUAAUAUCACCAAUUAAUGUACAUAGUUCUUGAGAAGCAGCAACACCAUUUCUGGAUUAUAUUGUGGGACAUGCUUUUCCAAUGUAUCAUAUCGUAAUCUUUGAAACCACAAAUGAAGUCGAGGUUGUCCCCCAUAAUUGGGUAAGGGACAAUGUUUGUAUGUGGCCUCCAUACAAAUAUGAAGAUAGAGUUAAAGCCAUAAAAUCAAUGGUAAAGCCAGGACCAUCCUGGACCCCCUUCAAAAUCCGGAUUAUUUUUACUAGAGAAACAUAUGAAGAAGCUCGCCAAAAACUACCAGAGGCAGAAUUAAACACAGACCUUACAGACGUGGACUCGCCCCCCGUGAGAAGAAAAAGACACAU
RNA transcript from Carassius auratus (goldfish), 4268 nucleotides. RefSeq lists it as uncharacterized. The record is from RefSeq and is a predicted model, not a curated record. Lineage: Eukaryota; Metazoa; Chordata; Actinopteri; Cypriniformes; Cyprinidae. The transcript has 6 exons.